GAUUGAACGCUGGCGGCAUGCCUUACACAUGCAAGUCGAACGGCAGCACGGGUGUUUGCACCUGGUGGCGAGUGGCGAACGGGUGAGUAAUACAUCGGAACAUGUCCUGUAGUGGGGGAUAGCCCGGCGAAAGCCGGAUUAAUACCGCAUACGAUCUACGGAUGAAAGCGGGGGACCUUCGGGCCUCGCGCUAUAGGGUUGGCCGAUGGCUGAUUAGCUAGUUGGUGGGGUAAAGGCCUACCAAGGCGACGAUCAGUAGCUGGUCUGAGAGGACGACCAGCCACACUGGGACUGGGACACGGCCCAGACUCCUACGGGAGGCAGCAGUGGGGAAUUUUGGACAAUGGGCGAAAGCCUGAUCCAGCAAUGCCGCGUGUGUGAAGAAGGCCUUCGGGUUGUAAAGCACUUUUGUCCGGAAAGAAAUCCUUGGCUCUAAUACAGUCGGGGGAUGACGGUACCGGAAGAAUAAGCACCGGCUAACUACGUGCCAGCAGCCGCGGUAAUACGUAGGGUGCGAGCGUUAAUCGGAAUUACUGGGCGUAAAGCGUGCGCAGGCGGUUUGCUAAGACCGAUGUGAAAUCCCCGGGCUCAACCUGGGAACUGCAUUGGUGACUGGCAGGCUAGAGUAUGGCAGAGGGGGGUAGAAUUCCACGUGUAGCAGUGAAAUGCGUAGAGAUGUGGAGGAAUACCGAUGGCGAAGGCAGCCCCCUGGGCCAAUACUGACGCUCAUGCACGAAAGCGUGGGGAGCAAACAGGAUUAGAUACCCUGGUAGUCCACGCCCUAAACGAUGUCAACUAGUUGUUGGGGAUUCAUUUCCUUAGUAACGUAGCUAACGCGUGAAGUUGACCGCCUGGGGAGUACGGUCGCAAGAUUAAAACUCAAAGGAAUUGACGGGGACCCGCACAAGCGGUGGAUGAUGUGGAUUAAUUCGAUGCAACGCGAAAAACCUUACCUACCCUUGACAUGGUCGGAAUCCCGCUGAGAGGUGGGAGUGCUCGAAAGAGAACCGGCGCACAGGUGCUGCAUGGCUGUCGUCAGCUCGUGUCGUGAGAUGUUGGGUUAAGUCCCGCAACGAGCGCAACCCUUGUCCUUAGUUGCUACGCAAGAGCACUCUAAGGAGACUGCCGGUGACAAACCGGAGGAAGGUGGGGAUGACGUCAAGUCCUCAUGGCCCUUAUGGGUAGGGCUUCACACGUCAUACAAUGGUCGGAACAGAGGGUUGCCAACCCGCGAGGGGGAGCUAAUCCCAGAAAACCGAUCGUAGUCCGGAUUGCACUCUGCAACUCGAGUGCAUGAAGCUGGAAUCGCUAGUAAUCGCGGAUCAGCAUGCCGCGGUGAAUACGUUCCCGGGUCUUGUACACACCGCC
This 1368-nucleotide ribosomal RNA is filed under the name uncultured beta proteobacterium. RNAcentral describes it as "bacterial SSU rRNA". It matches the Rfam family "Bacterial small subunit ribosomal RNA", at positions 27 to 1394 of the family's 1533-position model. The record is from RNAcentral. Lineage: Bacteria; Pseudomonadati; Pseudomonadota; Betaproteobacteria.